Molecule: ribosomal RNA, 466 nt
Filed under: uncultured bacterium
Lineage: Bacteria
Description: partial 16S ribosomal RNA
Rfam family: Bacterial small subunit ribosomal RNA
Source: RNAcentral
GAUGAACGCUGGCGGCGUGCUUAACACAUGCAAGUCGAACGGAAAGGCUCCUGCUUGCAGGGGUACUCGAGUGGCGAACGGGUGAGUAACACGUGGGUGAUCUGCCCUUCACUUCGGGAUAAGCCUGGGAAACUGGGUCUAAUACCGGAUAGGACGAUGUUUUGGAUGCCAUUGUGGAAAGUUUUUUCGGUGUGGGAUGAGCUCGCGGCCUAUCAGCUUGUUGGUGGGGUAAUGGCCUACCAAGGCGUCGACGGGUAGCCGGCCUGAGAGGGUGUACGGCCACAUUGGGACUGAGAUACGGCCCAGACUCCUACGGGAGGCAGCAGUGGGGAAUAUUGCACAAUGGGCGCAAGCCUGAUGCAGCGACGCCGCGUGGGGGAUGACGGCCUUCGGGUUGUAAACUCCUUUCGCUAGGGACGAAGCGCAAGUGACGGUACCUGGAGAAGAAGCACCGGCUAACUACGUG